UUCCCCUAGUAACUGCGAGUGAAGCGGGAAAAGCUCAAAUUUAAAAUCUGGCGGUUUUGGCCGUCCGAGUUGUAGUCUGGAGAAGUGCUUUCCGCGCCGGACCGUGUACAAGUCUCCUGGAACGGAGCGUCAUAGAGGGUGAGAAUCCCGUCUUUGACACGGACUACCGGUGCUUUGUGAUGCGCUCUCAAAGAGUCGAGUUGUUUGGGAAUGCAGCUCAAAAUGGGUGGUGAAUUCCAUCUAAAGCUAAAUAUUGGCGAGAGACCGAUAGCGAACAAGUACCGUGAGGGAAAGAUGAAAAGCACUUUGGAAAGAGAGUUAAACAGUACGUGAAAUUGCUGAAAGGGAAACGCUUGAAGUCAGUCGCGUCGUCCGGAACUCAGCCUUGCCUUGGCUUGGUGCACUUUCCGGUUGACGGGCCAGCAUCGAUUUUGACCGGUGGAUAAAGGUUUGAGGAAUGUGGCACCCUCGGGUGUGUUAUAGCCUCGAAUUGUAUACAUCGAUUGGGAUCGAGGAACUCAGCUUCGGCUUAGGAUGCUGGCGUAAUGGCUUUAAACGACCCGUCUUGAAACACGGACCAAGGAGUCUAACAUGCCUGCGAGUGUUUGGGUGGUAAACCCAGGCGCGUAAUGAAAGUGAAAGUCGAGACCUCUGUCGUGGAGGGCAUCGACGCCCGGACCUGACCUUCUGUGACGGCUCCGCGGUAGAGCAUGUAUGUUGGGACCCGAAAGAUGGUGAACUAUGCCUGAAUAGGGUGAAGCCAGAGGAAACUCUGGUGGAGGCUCGUAGCGAUUCUGACGUGCAAAUCGAUCGUCAAAUUUGGG
This 824-nucleotide ribosomal RNA is filed under the name Tyromyces stramenticus. RNAcentral's name for it is "partial large subunit ribosomal RNA". It matches the Rfam family "Eukaryotic large subunit ribosomal RNA", at positions 75 to 915 of the family's 3401-position model. The record is from RNAcentral. Lineage: Eukaryota; Fungi; Basidiomycota; Agaricomycetes; Polyporales; Incrustoporiaceae.